AAUUGUACAAAAAUAAAAAAUCAGAUGAUACCAUGGGCACACUGAGCAGGUGCAGAAUUAAUGGCACUCGGAGGCCUCCAUCUCAGGAUACUCUCUCCAGACCAGAGAACACUCUGAAACCUGUACCCAGUGAACCAGUGUUCUGAAGUAUUCCUCAGAGACAGGAGACCACAAACAUACACUGCCAAGAUGUGUGAACUUCUUCAUAGAAAUCCAGAAUUUGUCCUAACUGGAAUAUCUGUGAUCUCAGACUACCACCCUGGGCUCCCUGGCCCUGUCCCCAGAAGGGGAACAUUCUGCCACCCACCUCUUGACCUCCUGCAGCUCUAACCUGCAAGUGAUGGCUGUCAAAUCAGGGACUUGGCUGCCAAACCAGGAACUUCUGAGGAGCUACUUUGGGCCUGUGCAGCCCCAGCCCCAUCUUUGCCUCCAAACACUGCUCAAUAUGGAGCAUCACCUUUCUUCAGGCCAUCUUCAGGAUGAGAGUCUGCACUGCCUUUGCUGAGCAGCCCACUGAUCCCUCCCUCAAUGGUGAAAUCCUGCCCAAAUCACCAAGUGCUCUCAGGAUUUCUCAUGUGUUUUUUCAGAGGAUGACAACACUGGCCUCCAGAAAGUGUUGGCAUGCCAAAAAAAGAAGAUUGAAUAAUGACAACAGUCCUAAAUCUGCUCUGAUAGGGAAUAAAAAGUGAUUUUCAGCAA
This is a long non-coding RNA of Pyrgilauda ruficollis (rufous-necked snowfinch), 699 nucleotides long. RefSeq lists it as uncharacterized. The record is from RefSeq and is a predicted model, not a curated record. The transcript has 3 exons. NCBI's taxonomy places the organism in Eukaryota, Metazoa, Chordata, Aves, Passeriformes, Passeridae.